AUGAAGCUGAACAAGGGAGUCCUGGUUCCGGGGCUCGGGGUCUUUGCUGGGGUCCGAGAGCAAUUCCACAGCAAAGAAGAGGCAGUUUCGGUGCUAAGGCCUGUCUUCCAGCUGGACAUCGGGGUGCUGUGGCUGCAGGACCUCCAGUCUCCCAAUGACAUCAUCCCUGACGAUGUCAAGAUUGAGUCGCUCAACUACCAGCAGCUCUCGCGAGCCUCCGGCGUCCCGCUGAACGUGGUGCUGCGCUGCGUGCGAGAGAGCGUGCUCUUAUAUUGUCAGCUCCUGAGGAACAGGGAGCCCGUCUCAUUUGUCUUUAAGAACAUCGGCGUUGUGACGUGCCAAGAUGACUUCCUCCUCAUGAGGUUCUUCUGCAGCUGCAUUGCAACGCUGGAAAGCAAUGCCACUGUCCUUUCUCUGCUCUGCACUAGAUUUUGGACGGAAGAUUCUGCUGACUUCGGGCCAGAGACCACCGCCCAUGGGAUCCGGGUGUUCCCGAGGUUUCAGCUCACUGUGGAAAAGAGCAGAGCAGAGGUUGCCGCAGAAAAGAAAGCGGAAGAUGAGUAGAGGGGGCUCUGCCAGCAGGCUGCUGCAGAGGCGGAAGACACUUCCCCCCUCCAUGCUGCUGCAGCGCAAGCCAAGCUCAAGGCAGAAAGACGUGGCGAAGGAGCCUUCUGCCAGGUGAGAGCCUUGGGCGAAAAGAAGAAGGCGAUGCGUGUGCUCGUGUAGGACUGGGCUCCCCUUUGGAGCUGCCGGCUCUCAGCACCCAGAAAGGCUCCUGACACACGUGUCCCAGUGGGGGCCGUUCUCUCCAGGGACGGCAAGCGCACAGCCCCAACGCAGACACACCAGCUUCAUGUUCCACCCUGGCCCCCGAUCCCUGGGGGAGCUGAAUGCUGAUCCCC
RNAcentral lists this long non-coding RNA (902 nucleotides) under Phasianus colchicus (ring-necked pheasant). RNAcentral's name for it is "lncRNA (ENSPCLG00000014545.1)". Lineage: Eukaryota; Metazoa; Chordata; Aves; Galliformes; Phasianidae. The record is from RNAcentral.